GACGAACGCUGGCGGCGUGCUUAACACAUGCAAGUCGAACGGAAAGGCCCUGCUUUUGUGGGGUGCUCGAGUGGCGAACGGGUGAGUAACACGUGAGUAACCUGCCCUUGACUUUGGGAUAACUUCAGGAAACUGGGGCUAAUACCGGCUAGGAGCUCCUGCUGCAUGGUGGGGGUUGGACAGUUUCGGCGGUUGUGGAUGGACUCGCGGCUUAUCAGCUUGUUGGUGGGGUAGUGGCUUACCAAGGCAUUGACGGGUAGCCGGCCUGGGAGGGUGACCGGCCACAUGGGGACUGAGAUACGGCCCAGACUCCUACGGGAGGCAGCAGUGGGGAAUAUUGCACAAUGGGCGGAAGCCUGAGGCAGCAACGCCGCGUGCGGGAUGACGGCCUUCGGGUGGUAAACCGCUUUCGCCUGUGACGAAGCGUGAGUGACGGUAAUGGGUAAAGAAGCACCGGCUAACUACGUG
RNAcentral lists this ribosomal RNA (468 nucleotides) under uncultured bacterium. RNAcentral describes it as "partial 16S ribosomal RNA". It matches the Rfam family "Bacterial small subunit ribosomal RNA", at positions 28 to 507 of the family's 1533-position model. The record is from RNAcentral.